Oncorhynchus mykiss (rainbow trout) is the source of this 1359-nucleotide non-coding RNA. The record is from RefSeq and is a predicted model, not a curated record. Lineage: Eukaryota; Metazoa; Chordata; Actinopteri; Salmoniformes; Salmonidae.
GGGACUGUUUUCUCAGGGUAGAAGAGAACCCGGCAUCUCGGAUCAAAUCUCGGAUCAAAUCGCAGUUGAGGUUCUUUUUGUUGUUUCGCACACGCGAAUCCAGGAGAGUUGUCUUGUGUCUGCGUUGCCGUGGUAACCACCUUGCUGGUGUUGAUUGAAGAACAGGUUUCAUCUGUGAACCUCUGGUGUUGAUUAAUAUGCUGUUCAUAUUUUAACACAGUACGCUCUGACAGUUGGUAUGCCACAAUCAGCUUGGCCAUAGCCCGUUAGGAAAGAGAAUUUAUCCACCUUCGCUUAAGUAGGUGAUUAGAGCCAAGUACAGAACAUUAAUUUCAGCAGUGCAGAGUCGGUCAUGUUAACAUACAACAGGAACGUGAAUCUGUGCUAGGCCGUGAAGAAUCUCCAGGUGGAGAUAUAGCCUACUAGAUGAGGUCGUCUUGGUGACGCCACUGUAGAUCCACUUCAGAUGAAUGGCUCUGAGAUCCUUGGCAUGACACCUCCCCCUAACUACAACCCCUCCCCCAAUCUCACAGCCAGUCUAGGAUGAUAUAGGCUAAAAAUAGACUGUCCCUGCCAGAGCUCCAAGGAUAUGCAUAUUCUCAUACUGCCACCGUCACCCGACACACACAGGAGCAAUGCUUCAGCUCUGACCGUGGCCAAUCAGAGCCGACUCAGGUGACAUUUAAUUGGGUUUGCGAUGUGAAGAUGGAGGGAGGACUUGUUUCUAGAGGUGGAUGGACCCACUGCUGGGAAGGAGCGGAUCCUGACCAGCAUGAAGCCGCAACACCGCCACAACCAAUCAGAGGAUACGUUACUGGAUGGUGGAGCACAAUGGAAUGGCCCACCAUGCAGCUUCAGCCCAGCGCUCUUCAGACCAGGCUGAGGGCCUGACACCAUGGCUCAGUACGCAGGCCAGGAAGACCCCAGGGCUCUUCAGACCAGGCUGAGGGCCUGACACCAUGGCUCAGUACGCAGGCCAGGAGGGCCCAGAGUUUUUACCAUUCUCAAAUGGUAAAGAGAAACUCUGAUAUCCUACAACAUAAUAACACAUAAUAACUUAAUUUAUGUUAUCAUCUGUGAAGAAAUUGUGUGUGCGUGUGUGUGUUCACCCAGUCCUGUUCCUGGGAGUGAUGGGGUGCUGGCCAGGGCCGUUGAGGCACUGAACCAGGGGCUUAGGCUGGACCAUUAAAGGUCUCCAUCACCAGAGGAGGAAAUGGAAUUACGCUUCACUUCCUGUGAGUCAGGUUACUCACGCCUCAAUUACUGCCUGUUGAGCUCUGUCCAUCAGAGAGAGAGAGAAAGUGUGUGUGUGUGUGUGUGUGUGUGUGUGUGUGUGUGUGUGUGUGUGUGUGUGUGUGU